Molecule: non-coding RNA, 363 nt
Rfam family: transfer-messenger RNA
About the family: Bacterial tmRNA, also known as 10Sa RNA or SsrA, is named for its dual tRNA and mRNA-like properties.
Source: Rfam
GGGGACGUUACGGAUUCGACAGGGAUAGUUCGAGCUUAGGUUGCGAGCCGAAGGGAUCGUCUUCGUUAAAACGUCACGCCAAUAAUAACUGGCAAAACUAACAAUAACUUAGCUUUAGCAGCAUAAUAACUGCUUAGCUGUUCCUCCCUCCAUCGUCCAUGUGGUAGGGUAAGGGACUCACUCUUAGUGGACUACGCCUAAUUCCUCCGUCUGGGGAUGAUGGAAGAGAAUAAUCAGACUAGCUGCUCUGACGCCUGUCGAUAGGCAUAGGGGUUAGCGAAAUUGCAAAUAUAUCGACUACGCUCGUAGACGCUUAAGUGCCGAUAUGUCUGGACGAGGGUUCGAUUCCCUCCGUCUCCACCA